CAUGGAACUCGAGUGACGCAGAUAUAUUCCUUGUUUAAAUUUGACUGAACAUCUAAUCGCAGUUACAGCUGGUGGCAAAGAACUAACAGUAGAAUUGCAGCAGGUGUUCAAGUACUUAUGGACGCUAGCGUAUACACGUACUAUGAUUACGUAGAAUCGAAUCUAUAGUCUGUGCUGCGUAUUUGACGAAAUCGCUUUAAAACGGUAGUGGAUUUGAACGCGUACGACUUUCACCGAACAUUAAAUCAUAUCGGUCGUUAUAAAUAAUAGCAAAUAGCAAUACAGUGUCGUGAUUGUUCAUAUCGAUGACUUCGUAAGACUGUCUAAGGGAACGACUACGGAGAAGAAGCAGGAAUCGCGUAGAAUGGAAUGCGGCAGUUUCUACUCGAAAAAUCCGAGAGAAGGAAAAACUAAAAGCGUACAAGUGCAACGAACUGCGACGAGGACGAUUACGGAAUAUCGCGAGAGCCGACGGCAGCAGGAGGAAAACGUUGCGUCAAUUUGGCGGAGAUCCGACGUGCCAGCGGCCGAAAGAAAAACGCAUCCACGAGGCGAGCUUGGAGACAAGCCAACUCGUGUCGUUUCCAUUUACGCGAAACUUUUCAGCCGUGGUUCGCUACUCUCUGUGUCUAGAUGCUAUACGUUGUGUCCGUUGCACCAGGCUCGCGCUUUCUAACGGCGAAUUUACCUCGUUAAAUCGUGAGCAACGUACCGGACUCGAGAAAAACUAGCGUCCCCGUCUGUCCGCGUUGCUCACGAGGGGGAGAGAGGACGCACGCAACAGUUUCAACCCUGUGGAAAAUCGUCGGACAGAGAGCGAAGAGACAAAGGUCCGCGCGAUCCGCUCGACGCAUGGCAGUGGACCGACAUAAUAGUCGUUGUUGCAUUAUACUCCCCGGCUUCCCCUACGUAAUCGCGAUAUCGGUUCAACGGCCAUGCGAAAUUAACUUUCUCCGGCGCGGGUCUGCCAACGAGAAGCCCACUAGAAGCAGCAUGGUUACUACAUAUACAUUAGAUUGCCAGCGAUGUGCUCGAACCGCUUUCAAACCGAUUCCAUCAUUUUUAAUAUCGAACAUAAGGUAAAUUCGAUUAACCGGUUUCUCUUCAGUGGGAUAUUCGAUUAAUAACUCGGCGAAUGGUUAACGUAGACCGGAUACAAUGGCACUUAAUCGGCAUGGCGAAACUGCAUAGAUAUUGAUGUAAUUAACGUGCGGUUGAGAAUAACCGAGACUGAUUUUAUGUCUUCGGUCCAUGCUGAUAGCUGAUGAUGAUUUUAAUGCGUUACGUUGUGAGGAUCAGCUGUAGAGAACGAGUAGAGGUUGCUCUUCAAGUACAUCAUUUCUGCAAUACUACGUUGAUUCUAUAAUUGGAUGUUGCUUUGUAAUUAACUGUUAAAGCGCUAUAUAUUUGUAAUUUUAAGUGUAUCUAACGUGUUAAUCGAGAAAGUUCAGCUAACGGCUUAUUUAUUUAGAAAUCCCCUAUCUUUUUAUGCCACAAAUACCGUUACAAAUCAAUUACGUUUACAAAGAUUAAAACUGUCCUAACCAAAAUUCCUCUAUCUUCGUUAACAAUCUUUUAUUUCGUAAUUAUAGAAGUGGCAGAAUUAAGGAAUAAUUUCUUUAACAAGGAUAAAAUUGGAUAUGAAAGUUACCGUUUAAUUUUAAAGUUUUCAAGACCUCGAGUGUAUCAGUGAAUCGUAAAGCAUUCGAGUGGUUCUAAAAGCGAACGUGGCUCGUAAGAUUUCGAGUUGCCAUUGCUGGCGUUGCACAGGAAUCGGAACAACAGGUCGAUGCAAUUAGUCACUGGAUACCGUGAUUCCCACACGGUGAUUCCUUUUCGAAUGGGGUUAGGGAACAUAGGUCAGGAACGAUUCAUUUGUCCAAUCGAAGUCUGAAAAUAUUUCAUUAUAUGUUAGAAAAAUUUCAAAAGACUGUUCACAUCAAAAUCUUGAUAAUACGCAUAACGAAACGGGCAUAAAAGAUUUUCCAAUUGUAAUAUACAAACUGAUUUAAUGAGGUUAUACAAUACAUCGGGUUGCAUCACAUAGUCGCAAUGUUUGUUAACUGGUCUAACAUCGAAACACAGUAACAAUACUAAACGCGAACAUGUUACUUUCUCCUCGACCGAUUAUUUUACAUACGAACUAUUCGCGCUUGUAAAAUUAAUCGCAUGAAUCCUCCGUUGAGGAAACCAAUUUAACUAAAACCUGGUCGAGCAGAGGAGAAACGGUAUCUUCAUAAUACUUGAAAUUUUUAUACUGACGCUUUAUGGGUAAUUCGUCCCUCUGGCGGUGAAUAUGAGAACUACGAAUGUAGUGAACAUAAACAUUUGAAAAUUAAAAAAUUCUAAACUAUCAAAACUCUACAAUUCAAAAAUUUCAGAAGCUCAGAAAUAUCAAAAAUCUAAGAUUCGAAAGAUUUGAAAACUUGAAAAUUCCAAAACUUUUAUAUUUGAAAAUUCUAAAAUUCAUCUAAUAUAUCACAGAUACUAAAAGUAGAUUACAGAGUUAACAGGUUGAAUUUAAGCGAGCACGCAAAUGCCUCUAACAGCUGACGAUUGCUCUCUUUCCGGUGGUUCAACGAUAUUAGAGAAAUUCGCACGUUGUCUCCACACGUGGUAACGCGCAGCUAAAUAUACGCGACUAAUGACUGUUACGAAAUGUCAAGCAGAAGCUACCGAGUAGUGGGUCAGUCGUAAAGUCAGAUUCUGUUUCGCGUGUGUUCCCUAACAAGCGAUUAGUUUCGAGGAGAAAGGUGUCGAUUUUCAAUGGGUAUCGAUUUUCAAUGGGUAUCGAUGAUCGAGUCUGUACGCAACAAAAUAGUUGUACUCACUACAUUUUAACUUUAUUUAAGUAGAUACGUUACAAAAUAAAUUAGACAUAAAAUAAAUUGCCCGCCAAUAACAAUUCUUUGCAAUGUGAAGACUUAGAAAGUUCUAUCGCGAGAUAUGUGAAGCGGAAAAACUUAGAAUUGACCCUCUCAACUGGAGGCGAGACAAAAACAGCGUACGGAUCUUUAAGAUGAAAUAUACAGUGGCUUAUUUUUAGUCACAUUUUAUGAACAUAUUAUGUGCGUUAUACGAAAUAUUUUUAAAUUGUAUUAACACUGUUAUGAGACUUGGCUAUCAUGAUUAUGUUAAUCAAAUAUGAAACAAGUCUGAAAAUACAUAUAGAAAUUACAAGAUAUUUAGCAUCUACGAGUAUAUAAUUCACAGAGAUGACAAAAGCAUUUAAACAGUCAAUUAUCGAUUACAUUAAUAAAACUCGAUAUUCAGUUGGUCUAUCUUUAACAAAUAUUGUAUAUACUUAAGAUGGCUAUUUAUGCUGUAUACUAAUUUCUUACUAAAUAUCAGUUUACAGUAAAUAUCUUGCAACUUGUAUAUACAUUUCAGAUUUCAAAUUGUACCGAUAUAAUCAUAUGUUGUUAUUAAUACCAAUGGAAUAUCAAAAUGUUUUACAUAACAUAUACGAUACGCACAUAAAAGUUUUCUAUGGGGGUUAUUGAGGAAAUCGAUGAUGGAGAUCUAUUCUUUGCCGGAGGAACAAGCUAGUAGAAGGAAAUAUCGACGAAAGUUCGCUGGCGGCUGGCGUAUACUGCGCAAAUGCUCUCCCGCCUCUCGGAAUAUUACUUGGUUGCCCAAGGUUGCCGUUCGUUCUGCUCACGACUCGAGCAUUAUGCACGUGUAUAGAUAUAUCAGCUACGCACUUACAGCAAUAUACCUCUACACCAACGUAUUUACGAUACACGCUUAGAAGAUCUAUCUCUUUAUCGUGCACAUACACCAGGAGAGUACAUAUCAGCGUUUCCCAACCAUUUUUCUAUUCCGUUAAAACUUACUUUACUUUACUUACCACGUGCAAUACGUGUUUUCUUUAUCGUUAACUAUAGUAUAAUGAGACAUUCGAUGAAGCUAGUGAAUAAUUCAAGAUGACUCUAACAGGUUGAACCGAGACAAAGUCGAGCUGAAAAACGAGAUUGGGAAACUCUGUAAGCGCAAUGCACCUAUUCUUUGUUCAUUUCUCGGCUUUUAAGAGCGUGCCUCGCAUCGGUGCACGGCAAUUAUUGACGUGUGUGUGAAAACCAAGAGAUACACCGAGCACCGUAUAUUCUAUGUAUGUAUAUACGAGAGUAUAUGCGCGUCUGAUUGGUACCAGGACUACCAGGGCCUCUCCCUUCCGAACAAACGACGAUGGUUCAAGUUGGUCGCUUGCACGACAUGGAUCAACGAUUUAACGUGAACAUAAAACAGAACAGUCUCUCUCGAUCUCUGCGGUCAGAUCUUUCCAAAUCGAUCGAUCGCUUCCCCGAUACGCGGAAUCUCACUUUCUCUGAAACUCUGUUUUCUUUUCCCUUUGUCUUGCUGCUCACCGUGAAGCAUGUUUUGAGAAUUAAUCGAGAUAUAAAAACAAUAUCAGGCAAAUCUUAAUUCGAAAAUGGAAGAAUAAUUACUUAUCCACUUGGAGAAAUCAUUUUCCAUGAAGAAGAAAAAUACGGGUAGUUCCUGUUUCUUUUAGAAUGUUCGUUGGUAAGAAACGGUAAUACAAAAAACCAUUCGUAAUUUUUAUGUUAACGAAUGAGUAAAUUAAUUACUUCCCGUUUCAUAGCGUUUUAAAUAUGAAGACAUAUUCUCGUUCAUAUGUGUAUGUAAUAUGUUAUAUAGAUAUGACUGAGAUGUCAUUCGAUGAUAUUGAUAUCUUAUAUAUUUUAUUCAUUCAUAUACAUCUAUAUAUAACAUAUAAAUGUAUAUAUCAUUAUACACAUACGAACGACACGUUAUACGUAACAAAUCAUUGUCUUUCUAUAGUUGAGAAUCGAUUGAAAGUUUGUCCAUUUAUACUCUGAUUAAAUAAUGCACGACCGCGCACGUUGCUUUCUAAUCAUUUAUUUACGCGAAUAUUUUCGAUGUGGAAACGCAUCUAUUAUAAUCGUAAACUUUAUAGAAGCAUCAUUCGUGGAGUUGAAUCGCUUUCGUUUACAUAAUCUACGUCUUCCGUAAGCACAGCGUGUAAAAUGACCGAUAGAAUUCCUGUAAAUGGAAAUUUUUAUUGAAUAAUCUCCACGAAGAGAUUGAUUCUUUACAAAGAACACGAUAAUAAUGACGUGUUAUCGCUAUUUCAUUUCAUUGAUUUCACAACCCAGAACAAUUACGAAGCAUCGAACAUUUGUAUUUUGUCAUGAAUGAUCAUGAAAAAUUAAGUAUAAAAUAUGUUAAUUCAAAUAAAAGAGAUACUUAUUUUUUGGAAUAAUUAUAGAAAAUGGAGAGUAUAGCAGUAAAUAAGUUAAUCAAAGAAAAUUAAGAAUCGAGAAAUUAAUGAUAUAAAAUCUGUAUUCGAAACGCUGCUGUUUAAUGCUGCAUAAAUUCGCGCUAUCUUAUGUCCGAACGUGUUAAAGUACUGUUCCUUUCAAUUGCGUUGGCCUUGAGGUUAGUAGACAAGGAACGACGCAAUUCUCACGAUUAAUGCUCUUUGUCCGAUCUUCUUUCACGCUCUAUUAUCGUUCGACUUUAUGUUGUAACGUACUCUGAAGGUUAAUAAAAGAAACUUCUAAUUUGUUCUUCUAUUACAA
Long non-coding RNA from Bombus terrestris (buff-tailed bumblebee), 5564 nucleotides. RefSeq lists it as uncharacterized. The record is from RefSeq and is a predicted model, not a curated record. Lineage: Eukaryota; Metazoa; Arthropoda; Insecta; Hymenoptera; Apidae. The transcript is spliced from 5 exons.